Molecule: non-coding RNA, 134 nt
Organism: Triticum aestivum (bread wheat)
Lineage: Eukaryota; Viridiplantae; Streptophyta; Magnoliopsida; Poales; Poaceae
Source: Rfam
UUGCUACUAUUCCGUCCCGAAUUACUAGUCUUAGAUUUGUCUAAAUAAAGAUGUAUCUAGACACGUUUUACAGUUAGAUACAUCCGUAUCUAGACAAAUUUAAGGCAUGUAAUUUGAGACGGAGGUAAUAUUUG